GCAUAACGCGAAGAACCUUACCCACCUUUGACAUGUACGGAAUCCUUUAGAGAUAGAGGAGUGCUCGAAAGAGAGCCGUAACACAGGUGCUGCAUGGCUGUCGUCAGCUCGUGUCGUGAGAUGUUGGGUUAAGUCCCGCAACGAGCGCAACCCUUGCCAUUAGUUGCUACGAAAGGGCACUCUAAUGGGACUGCCGGUGACAAACCGGAGGAAGGUGGGGAUGACGUCAAGUCCUCAUGGCCCUUAUAGGUGGGGCUACACACGUCAUACAAUGGCUGGUACAAAGGGUUGCCAACCCGCGAGGGGGGAGCUAAUCCCAUAAAGCCAGUCGUAGUCCGGAUCGCAGUCUGCAACUCGACUGCGUGAAGUCGGAAUCGCUAGUAAUCGUGGAUCAGAAUGUCACGGUGAAUACGUUCCCGGGUCUUGUACACACCG
Molecule: ribosomal RNA, 435 nt
Filed under: uncultured bacterium
Lineage: Bacteria
Description: bacterial SSU rRNA
Rfam family: Bacterial small subunit ribosomal RNA
Source: RNAcentral